UACUACGGCCAUGCCACCCUGAACGAGCCCCCGAUCCCAUCUGAUCUCAGAAGCUAAUCAGGGUUGGGCCUGGUUAGUACUUGGAUGGUUAGUACCUAGGAAAAUCAGGUGCCGUAGGCG
This 120-nucleotide ribosomal RNA is filed under the name Pteropus alecto (black flying fox). The record is from RNAcentral. Lineage: Eukaryota; Metazoa; Chordata; Mammalia; Chiroptera; Pteropodidae.